UACUAAAGAAUUGCUUUCUCUUGCCUCAUCCGGCGGACACUUCUAGGUUCCAUUAUUUCACUGAAGUGAGCUCCAUGAGAGAGGAUUCCACAAGGUGAGGUCCGCCGUGAGGGGUGGCCAGCGAUGUGAGGGAGCAGCCGCGACCAGCGCUAGCAGACUCCAACGCGCCCAAGCCCCGGCCAAGGCUAUAGCAGCUGCUUUCGCGUGCCGUCGUUCCCCUCCAGCAGAUCCCUGGGAGAAGGCGGGGAACUGCAGGGCGUCCGACCGGCUGGGUGAAGCGCCGCUUCGCCGUGAUGUCGCAGGAGGUCGUGUAGGCGCACAUCAAGAUGGCGUACAUCACCAUUACGGCCACCUUUUCUGCUCAGACACUUUGUCGGCGUGGGUGCUGCGAACGGAGCUGAAGUCAACGCGGAUGCCGAUGGUUGCUGGAGAGCUUACCCUGGACGUGGAUGGAGUCGUCGUAGUAGCGGCAAAAGAGCGCCUGGCCUCCAGGCAGAAGACGAUGGCGGCGAUAGCACGUGUGUUCCCGGAGGAAGAUGAAGCUCCUCAUGCUUCCCCCAUCGUGGCUAGCGUGCAUGAUGGCGGCAAGUGGCUCACCAUUAGCUUCCUAAUAGGAUGGAUGCAUCUGAGAUAAGUUUUUUAAUAGGAUGGAUUUGUCUGAGAUUAGUUUCCUAAUAGGAUGGAUUUGUCUGAGAUUAGUUUCCUAGAAUAGGAUGCACCAGUGAUUAUUAGUUUCCUAAUUGCUCAGGCGUGGAGUUUCAUAUUUUCCUCCACGGUGGAGUACGGCCAGUCAAUGUAAAUUGCUAAGUGCACACAGAAAAUGGUUUAGGUUAAGGCUAACCGUUAGAUUGA
Molecule: long non-coding RNA, 852 nt
Organism: Triticum dicoccoides
Lineage: Eukaryota; Viridiplantae; Streptophyta; Magnoliopsida; Poales; Poaceae
Exons: 2
Source: RefSeq, a predicted model, not a curated record